CCUGUUAUAUCAGUACAUGAUGUACAUUUAAUACCAGUUUGUGAUGAAGGACUAAUAUACAUCAGCAUUAAUGUCAGCACUAUAUGUGAAAGGGAGUAUCCUGAUUCUAUAGCAGUUAUUAUACUCAAUAGUGAUAGCAGUACAGUAAUAAAUAAUGUUACUAUUAUACCACAAGUUAAUUAUCAACUGAUGAUAGCAACUGGAAAUACUUCAAUACCAUCUUGCAAUGAGACAUUAAUUGUUAAUGUAUCAUUGAGUAAUACUGAAGGAACUCUUAAUGUAAUGUCACCUUUUAAAUUUGUUUAUCUUGGAC
Molecule: long non-coding RNA, 313 nt
Organism: Amphimedon queenslandica
Lineage: Eukaryota; Metazoa; Porifera; Demospongiae; Haplosclerida; Niphatidae
Exons: 3
Source: RefSeq, a predicted model, not a curated record